AUACGUAGGGGGCGAGCGUUGUCCGGAAUGAUUGGGCGUAAAGGGCGCGUAGGCGGCCCGGUAAGUCUGGAGUGAAAGUCCUGUUUUUAAGAUGGGAAUUGCUUUGGAUACUGUCGGGCUUGAGUGCAGGAGAGGUAAGUGGAAUUCCCAGUGUAGCGGUGAAAUGCGUAGAGAUUGGGAGGAACACCAGUGGCGAAGGCGACUUACUGGACUGUAACUGACGCUGAGGCGCGAAAGUGUGGGGAGCAAACAGGAUUAGAUACCCUGGUAGUCCACACUGUAAACGAUGAAUGCUAGGUGUAGGGGGUAUCGACCCCUUCUGUGCCGCAGUCAACACAAUAAGCAUUCCGCCUGGGGAGUACGGCCGCAAAGUUGAAACUCAAAUGAAUUGACGGGG
RNAcentral lists this ribosomal RNA (397 nucleotides) under uncultured bacterium. RNAcentral describes it as "partial 16S ribosomal RNA". It matches the Rfam family "Bacterial small subunit ribosomal RNA", at positions 523 to 918 of the family's 1533-position model. The record is from RNAcentral.